This 255-nucleotide ribosomal RNA is filed under the name uncultured bacterium. RNAcentral describes it as "partial 16S ribosomal RNA". It matches the Rfam family "Bacterial small subunit ribosomal RNA", at positions 524 to 776 of the family's 1533-position model. The record is from RNAcentral.
AACGGAGGACCCAAGCGUUAUCCGGAAUUACUGGGCGUAAAGAGUUGCGUAGGUGGCAAGAUAAGCGAAGUGUGAAAUCUCGUGGCUCAACCAUGAGGCUAUGCUUUGAACUGUCUAGCUUAGAGUAUGGGAGAGGUAGAUGGAAUUCUCAGUGUAGGGGUAAAAUCCGUAGAUAUUGGGAGGAACACCGAUGGCGUAGGCAGUCUACUAGCCCAUUACUGACACUAGGGCACGAAAGCGUGGGGAGCGAACAGG